RNAcentral lists this ribosomal RNA (495 nucleotides) under uncultured bacterium. Its description in RNAcentral is "partial 16S ribosomal RNA". It matches the Rfam family "Bacterial small subunit ribosomal RNA", at positions 28 to 507 of the family's 1533-position model. The record is from RNAcentral.
GACGAACGCUGGCGGCGUGCCUAAUACAUGCAAGUAGAACGCUGAAGGAGGAGCUUGCUUCUCUGGAUGAGUUGCGAACGGGUGAGUAACGCGUAGGUAACCUGCCUUGUAGCGGGGGAUAACUAUUGGAAACGAUAGCUAAUACCGCAUAAUAGUAGAUGUUGCAUGACAUUUGCUUAAAAGUUGCAAUUGCAUCACUACCAGAUGGACCUGCGUUGUAUUAGCUAGUUGGUGGGGUAACGGCUCACCAAGGCGACGAUACAUAGGCGACCUGAGAGGGGGAUCCGCCAACCUGGGACUGAGACAAGGCCCAGAAUCCUACGGGAGGCAGCAGUAGGGAAUCUUCGGAAAUGGACGGAAGUCUGACCGAGCAAAGCCGCGUGAGUGAAGAAGGGUUUCGGAUCGUAAAGCUCGGUUGUAAGAGAAGAACGAGUGUGAGAGUGGAAAGUUCACACUGUGACGGUAUCUUAACAGAAAGGGACGGCUAACUACGUG